AUCCAACUGACGAGUAUCAAAUAAGACGAAACGCUCGUUCUGAAU
Non-coding RNA from Schistosoma curassoni, 45 nucleotides. NCBI's taxonomy places the organism in Eukaryota, Metazoa, Platyhelminthes, Trematoda, Strigeidida, Schistosomatidae. The record is from Rfam.